UACGUAGGGUGCGAGCGUUGUCCGGAAUUAUUGGGCGUAAAGAGCUCGUAGGCGGUUUGUCGCGUCGACUGUGAAAACCCGAGGCUUAACCUCGGGCCUGCAGUCGAUACGGGCAGACUAGAGUUCGGUAGGGGAGACUGGAAUUCCUGGUGUAGCGGUGAAAUGCGCAGAUAUCAGGAAGAACACCCGUGGCGAAAGCGGCUCUCUGGAACGGUACUGACGCUGAGACGCGGAAGCGUGGGGAGCGAACAGG
This 253-nucleotide ribosomal RNA is filed under the name uncultured bacterium. RNAcentral describes it as "partial 16S ribosomal RNA". It matches the Rfam family "Bacterial small subunit ribosomal RNA", at positions 524 to 776 of the family's 1533-position model. The record is from RNAcentral.